This 451-nucleotide ribosomal RNA is filed under the name Cedecea davisae. RNAcentral describes it as "bacterial SSU rRNA". It matches the Rfam family "Bacterial small subunit ribosomal RNA", at positions 912 to 1365 of the family's 1533-position model. The record is from RNAcentral. Lineage: Bacteria; Pseudomonadati; Pseudomonadota; Gammaproteobacteria; Enterobacterales; Enterobacteriaceae.
GACGGGGGCCCGCACAAGCGGUGGAGCAUGUGGUUUAAUUCGAUGCAACGCGAAGAACCUUACCUACUCUUGACAUCCAGAGAACUUUCCAGAGAUGGAUUGGUGCCUUCGGGAACUCUGAGACAGGUGCUGCAUGGCUGUCGUCAGCUCGUGUUGUGAAAUGUUGGGUUAAGUCCCGCAACGAGCGCAACCCUUAUCCUUUGUUGCCAGCGGUUAGGCCGGGAACUCAAAGGAGACUGCCAGUGAUAAACUGGAGGAAGGUGGGGAUGACGUCAAGUCAUCAUGGCCCUUACGAGUAGGGCUACACACGUGCUACAAUGGCGCAUACAAAGAGAAGCGACCUCGCGAGAGCAAGCGGACCUCAUAAAGUGCGUCGUAGUCCGGAUUGGAGUCUGCAACUCGACUCCAUGAAGUCGGAAUCGCUAUAAUCGUAGAUCAGAUGCUANCGUAA